This 497-nucleotide ribosomal RNA is filed under the name uncultured bacterium. RNAcentral describes it as "partial 16S ribosomal RNA". It matches the Rfam family "Bacterial small subunit ribosomal RNA", at positions 28 to 507 of the family's 1533-position model. The record is from RNAcentral.
GACGAACGCUGGCGGCGUGCCUAAUACAUGCAAGUUGAGCGAUGAAGAUUGGUGCUUGCACCAAUUUGCAGAGCAGCGAACGGGUGAGUAACGCGUGGGGAAUCUGCCUUUGAGCGGGGGACAACAUUUGGAAACGAAUGCUAAUACCGCAUAACAACUUUAAACAUAAGUUUUAAGUUUGAAAGAUGCAAUUGCAUCACUCAAAGAUGAUCCCGCGUUGUAUUAGCUAGUUGGUGAGGUAAAGGCUCACCAAGGCGAGGAUACAUAGCCGCCCUGAGAGGGUGAUCGGCCACAUUGGGACUGAGACACGGCCCAAACUCCUACGGGAGGCAGCAGUAGGGAAUCUUCGGCAAUGGACGAAAGUCUGACCGAGCAACGCCGCGUGAGUGAAGAAGGUUUUCGGAUCGUAAAACUCUGUUGGUAGAGAAGAACGUUGGUGAGAGUGGAAAGCUCAUCAAGUGACGGUAACUACCCAGAAAGGGACGGCUAACUACGUG